Oreochromis aureus is the source of this 385-nucleotide long non-coding RNA. The record is from Ensembl. Lineage: Eukaryota; Metazoa; Chordata; Actinopteri; Cichliformes; Cichlidae.
CAAUACUGUACCCCAAAGUGUAAAACAUGACAUUUCCUGUUCCCACUAGGUGGCGCUGUACCUGAUGUCAAAUAUGGCAGUUGAAAUAUGUUCAGGGCUGGAGCCUUAUCAUAUGUGUCCACUUUGGUCAAGGUCGGACAAUGUAUGACAGAACGAGAGGCAAUAAGAUUUUCAUGGCGAGUCAUCGAAAUUCGCCGUGGCGCCACGGCCUCACCGUAUCCCGAAAACUCAAAAGCUCCGCAAUUUAACAUGGCCCAGGUGUGUAGUUGACACUGACCAAAUAUGAAGCUUGUACGAUGAAAUUCCAAUGAGGAGUUCGCAAAAGUUCGAGGCAUGGAAAUGGCAAAAUUAGAGCCAAAAUGUCACCUUCACUUCCAAAUGGCGG